GUGUGUCAAUUUUAGGUGUUCAUUGAUUUUUUUUUGAACAUUUUAUUUUGUAACAUUAUUUAAACACUUCAUAUGUUGACGAAAGAUUCCAUUCAAAAAAACUAAACAGAGGAACGAAAGAUUCCAUUCAAAAAAACUAUAGAGGAUAUUUAAAUGAUUUUAUUCGUUACAGUAAAUUGUAAUAAUAAUUCCUAAUCUCACAUCAUGCAAUAGUUAUUUUGAAUAGCUUAAUUUCAUAUUUUUGAAAAGGGAUGUAUUAUAUUUCAUUGAGUUUUUCUCAUUAGGCUCUUAUCUUGAAAUGCUGCACCCCUGUUGGGUGUUCAAGUAAAUUGGAAGAGCUAACAGUUACGAUACCCCUAAUGAUUACGGGCAAGAAUGUGUAAGAAUGGUGUGACAGAAAUAGUGGAGAAAAUUUUGGAAUUAUUUUUGUUAAGGAUUAGAUUAUUAGAAAUGUGAAUGUUGAGGAAACAAUCUAAUCAUACUAAAAGUAGAAUAUAGGCAAACCAAAGUAUUCAAGCUUUUGCGCAAACGAAAUGGCGACCUGAGUUUAUUAUUUCUGUUUGUGCAAAAACUGAAUCCCUGCUUGCCAAAGUUCUAGUGCUGGUAGCAUUUACAUCUUUUAUUCUCAAUGGAACUAAUUUCAAAAUUUUUUUUUUCACCGUUUCUGUCACACCAUUCUUGACAAUAAUUAUUAGGGGUGUUUCAAUUGUUAUUGUACCAGAGGCUGGUGUUGCUAUUGACUCCCACUCUAUCCACCAUGCAAAAUGUUUUGAUUCUGUUCAUUUGCAGUCCGCUUCUCCCUCAUUUCCACCAUUUGCUUUCUGUCUAUAGCUGCUUCUCCUUCCCAGUUUGCUCACUCUUGGAGAUACAUUCCUUUCAAACUUUGCUUCGCCAGCUGCAGCAUGGCGCUGCCUCCUUGUCUCCUCUGCUUCAUUGCCUCAUUCAUGUUAAGCCUGCAUGAAUGACUUUUGCAUUUGCCGCCAAAAAUAUAUGAACACAACAUAAACUCAACACGAUGCAUGGAAGUAAAGACAAAUCAACAAGCUAAGUAUAUACUACUCCUGCGUGCACGG
Neltuma alba is the source of this 1073-nucleotide RNA transcript. It is a transcript of the gene named ethylene-responsive transcription factor ERF096-like, with no coding region annotated. The transcript is spliced from 2 exons. The record is from RefSeq and is a predicted model, not a curated record. Lineage: Eukaryota; Viridiplantae; Streptophyta; Magnoliopsida; Fabales; Fabaceae.